ACGACAGAACAUGGCACACUAGCCUAAUCCUAAGGGUUGCAGUUACAAGUAUAAAUCCACCCAAUCAUUAGCCAUAAUAAUUGGACAAGAUUGCCUAACCAUGGGGGCAAAGAUUAGGCAUGAGAAACGAUCUGUAUUUUGCCCAAGUUAGAACAUGUUAAAUGCCUACAACUUUAAUUCUCUUCCACUUUUCAAUAUAAUAAAAUAAUAAUAACAAGGAUGAGUAGUCAUCAAUCUAUACAUUUUUAUUCAGUACUUCAACUACAACAAAAAAAUAUAAAAUUUUGAUUUAUUUCUUAUACAAUUUCCAGUGACCGAUUACUCAAAGCAAAUGAUUAGCAUCACUACAGACAAUUGAUUAUCACCUUUUCCCAACUCAAAUUUGUCCCUUUAAGUACUCAUUAAUUCUAACAUAAAGCCAAUUUAAUUGUUAAUUCUUAUCCUCCCAAGCCGACACCAUACAUAACCCCUUUCACAAUCAUGCAAUGUACAUGAUUCAUUAUUUUCAAUUCUCUCAUUGUCAUUCACGUAAACACAAACAUACAAUUAAUAUACUAAGAAAAUUUUAAGUAAAAGAGUCACCUGAAGCACUCGUGAUUUUUCUUCGUUUAAAGGCCUCUUUCUGCUAUUACGCUCUUCUCCUCUUUUAUUUUAGAUUAUUUAUUACCCUAAUUAUAAAAGAAAAAACUAUCUAUAUACACACCUUUAGUUUUCAUAAUUUUGAUUAAUCCCUAUUAUUUAAAAUACUUCUAAAAUUCCUUAUUUUCCCCCUAAUUCUUAAGUCAACAGAUACAUUACUCCUAACACAACAACCCACGUUCCCUUUCUAUUUUUGUUCCUUAAAUCUCUCCCUUAUUUCACUCCCAUAAUCUGAUUAGUUACAUCCUUGAUCCCAAUUUGAAUUUAAAAGGUUUCUCUCUCUAGUUGCAAUUGAUUUCAAAUCAACUUUUCAUCUUUUCCAUUCUACUGUUCUUCAUUUUUGAGUGACAGGAAAGACUGAUGGUCAACCCCAAAUCGACAAUAUAAGUUCAUCAAGUUGUAAUGAUUAUUAGAUAUAAAUUUUUGAUAUAUGUUUGAUAUUUUCUUUGUUAGUUAUUUCAAAAAUCUGAUAUAAUAAUGACAAGGUAUUGUUCUCAUAAGGUCAUGUAUCAUAUGUUUAAGUAUUAUCUAGAUACAUUAAAUUCUAAUUUUAUUCUCGUUUCGAACAGUUGUUAUGAAUUUAUGAAGUUAUAAAGUUUUAAUUGUAGAAUAGGUUAUAAUUUGUAGAAUCUUAUAUUAUAUAUUAUAAUUAAACCUGAUACAUAAUAA
This is a non-coding RNA of Solanum lycopersicum (tomato), 1308 nucleotides long. The record is from RefSeq and is a predicted model, not a curated record. Lineage: Eukaryota; Viridiplantae; Streptophyta; Magnoliopsida; Solanales; Solanaceae.